GAAGCACAUGACAGUUUGGUUUGC
RNAcentral lists this non-coding RNA (24 nucleotides) under Arabidopsis thaliana (thale cress). The record is from RNAcentral. Lineage: Eukaryota; Viridiplantae; Streptophyta; Magnoliopsida; Brassicales; Brassicaceae.